This 73-nucleotide transfer RNA is filed under the name Pangasianodon hypophthalmus (striped catfish). Its description in RNAcentral is "tRNA-Glu". Lineage: Eukaryota; Metazoa; Chordata; Actinopteri; Siluriformes; Pangasiidae. The record is from RNAcentral.
UCCGUCUAGUGUCUAGUGGUUAGGCCACAUUGCUCUCACCACUGCACCCUGGGUUCGAUUCCCGGACAGGGAA